AACGUAGGACACGAGCGUUAUCCGGAGUUACUGGGCGUAAAGGGCGUGCAGGCGGCAUGGUAAGUCUGAUGUGAAAGCUCCCGGCUCAACCGGGAGAGGACAUUGGAGACUGCCAAGCUCGAGGCAGAUAGAGGGAUGUAGAAUUCCGGGUGUAGUGGUGAAAUGCGUAGAGAUCCGGAGGAACACCAGAGGCGAAAGCGGCAUCCUGGCUCAGCACUGACGCUCAGACACGACAGCAUGGGGAGCGAACGGG
This 253-nucleotide ribosomal RNA is filed under the name uncultured bacterium. RNAcentral's name for it is "partial 16S ribosomal RNA". It matches the Rfam family "Bacterial small subunit ribosomal RNA", at positions 524 to 776 of the family's 1533-position model. The record is from RNAcentral.